AGUCUAGUCUGUUGUUGAGAUAGGGCCGCAUUCCAACACUGCUGUCCUGAGUGCAUGAAAAUUGAAAUAGUACCAGUGUACACAGAAGGGGGUGAAACUGUCAGCUCUUCAGCCCAUCUGACGAAGAUGAGUGUUUUGGUGAUUCAGCGCAAGCGUGUGUGUGUUUUUGUUUUCUGUGAUGGCGGACUACAGUGGAGUUUUAUGUGCCUUAUUACAACAGAUCAACAGAGACCUCAGUGCAGCGGAAAAGAACAAGGAGCGCCAGCCGGCUUGAUGUUCUCAGUUUCUACAACAACAAAAAACUCAUAUUUCAUAUUUCCAUCAUAUAUUCUUUUAUAUUUAAAAGAAUCAAAAGUACAAUUUUUAUUUUUAUAUGAAAUACCUGAAAAUUCCUGCAGAAAGAGGACAGCUGUUAGGGGGUGUUUUGGUUUGGAAAACAGCACCUUCCAGCAGGAACAAGAAGGGUGGAGUUACUGGGACCAUUCUUUUUUAUUGUUCUUGGUAUUUUCUACUUUUUUGUACUCUUGCUGUCACUGCCAGAAAAUGUAGACAUUUAUGUUCUUGAUAGAAACAAACUAAUGCUGGAUGCAGUCAUGACAGCUGAUUUUUUCCUUUUGAGGAUAUGGUGUUGUGUUAACCAAUGAACUAUCCAAAUGAUGAAGGUAUGACAUGAACAUUGAAGUAGGGAGUCUAAUUUAACAAAAUAUCAUUAUCUUUCCUGGUUUCUUGCAGAUAGUUUACGUGUCUUUAAUUGCGUUAUUCACACAUUUACUCACUCUGUUUUUAUGUUUUAGUCUUGAUCAGUUUCCUGUCCAUAUCAUUUGCCCCACACGUACUGGUUCUGACAUUCUGACAAGGACAAUUUUAACUUGGACCAAUAAGCAGGCAGGAUUAUGAUCUGGGUUCCUAUCAAGCAGAUGUUAUCCAGCAGAAAAAAGGAUUCCAAUGCAAAUAUUAUUUUGAAAGAUUAUGUCCUACAUAUAUUGUAUGUAAAUAAUAUCCUAUUCUAAAUCUAUCUGAGUGAUGAGGUGAUGUUGACGGACAUAUUAUUUUGCUGCUGAAAUCUCACAAUGACAAUGCUAACAUGCUGAUGUUUAGCAGCUACCAUCUUUGUGUUAGCAUGCUAACAUUUGAUAAUUGGCACUAAACACAAAGUACAGCUGAGUCGGUGUCAUUAGUUUUGAAGGUAUUUGGUCAAAAAACAAAGUAUCGGACAUAUUAAAAUUUUGACCAGAUGACGGCACUAGAUGAAAAGUCAGGGGAUUACCAAAGUCUGUAGGAUCCAUCCUCUGGGACCCAUGAAUGUCAUUACAAAAUGCCACCUUUAACAAUCCAUGUUGUAGAAGUUGAGAUAUUUCACAGCAUCAAGUGAAACUAUUUGGCCCUCAGGUGGCGGUAGAGAAUAACCAAAGUAAUUCACACCUGCUAUCUCAAAUUCAGUAUUGGAUAGUGGAGUUUUAAAUUAUAAUGUGCUGUACUCUUUUUAUGUGUUGUUUAAUGGACCCGGUAUUUGUUGGCUUUAUCAUUAUACACUUGUGCACGGUUUGCACACUGGAAAAGUGCCUGGAAUUUGUUGUUCUUACUUUCUCUUGAAUUUUAACACCCCUGAAUGUAACGAGGGCUCCUCUAUAUCACAUUAAGGCAGUGGUUCCUCCUCCAGUUUGGAAUAGAUUGAUGUAUUUGUCUGAUCAAAUGGGGAAAAACACUCAGGGAAGUACUCAGGCAGCUUAUUAAUUUCAUCUACACAACUUUUCUGGACAGAUGGCACUUUUUUCACAUCAUUUGAAUGAAGAAAUAAUAGAAUGAGACAGGGAAAGCCCUGCCAACAGACCCUGGAGGCCUUGUGCCACUUCUAACAGGCAACCAGACCCAAGUGAUUUGAAAUGACUAAGCAACUAGCACUGCCAUCCAUAAAAGCUCACACAACAAAAGCUAAAACAAAGAAACACACAAUGGAUAAUACUGAAAAUAUACUUUAUUAUUCAGUGCAUCCAAAUGAUUUAUGACAAUUUACAAAUAAAUGUUUAAUAUUA
Long non-coding RNA from Micropterus dolomieu (smallmouth bass), 2033 nucleotides. RefSeq lists it as uncharacterized. The record is from RefSeq and is a predicted model, not a curated record. Lineage: Eukaryota; Metazoa; Chordata; Actinopteri; Centrarchiformes; Centrarchidae. The transcript is spliced from 3 exons.